This 202-nucleotide long non-coding RNA is filed under the name Zostera marina. Its description in RNAcentral is "long non-coding RNA (ZMAR_LNC004273)". The record is from RNAcentral. Lineage: Eukaryota; Viridiplantae; Streptophyta; Magnoliopsida; Alismatales; Zosteraceae.
CUGGCCUCCAACGGGUCUGCUGGCACCUCGCCUGCCUCGAUGAAUCUCUUGAUCGGCGUUCUCCAAUCCCCCGACGUUAUUAUGCCGCACACCCCGGCCGGCUUGGGGCUGCUGGCUGUCGUUGGCCGCUCUUGGUUCUCGAUCCGAAUCCACCUUCCUUCUGCUUUCCCUGGGGACGCUCCCAGCUUGGCCAGCGUGUCGG